AUGACUGCAUCUGUGACUACCACUGCAGGGCACACUAGUAAAACAACCUCCCUUGUAACUUCCACCGAAAGUCCCACCAGGAACACAACUGCCCCCUUGACUUCCACUGCAGGGCACACUAGCAAAUUGACUGCCCCUGUGACAUCUGCUGGAGGGGAUACUAGUAAAACAAAUGCCCCUGUGACGUCCGCUGGAGGGCAUACUAGUAAAUUCACUGCUCCUGUGACAUCUGCUGGAGGGGAUACUAGUAAAACAAAUGCCCCUGUGACAUCCACUGGAGGGCACACUAAUAAAUUGACUGCCCCUCUGACUUCCACUACAGGGCACACUAGCAAAUUGACUGCCCCUGUGACAUCUGCUGGAGGAGAUACUGGUAAAACAAAUGCCACUGUGAUGUCCUCUGCGGGGCAUACUAUUAAGGUGACUGCCUCUGUGACUACCACUGCAGGGCACACUAGUAAAACAACCUCUCUUGUGACUUCCACUGAAAGUCCCACCAGGUACACAACUGCCCCUAUGACUCCCACUGCAGGGCACAUUAGUAAAUUGACUGCCCCAGUGACGUCCACUGGAGGGCACACUAAUAAAGUCACUGCCCCUGUGACAUCUGCUAGAGGGCACACUAGUAAUACAACUGCCCCUGUGACUUCCACUGCAGGGCACACUAGUAAAACAAAUGGCCCUUUGACGUCCACUGCAGGGCUCAUUAGGAUAAUGUUUGACCCUGUGACUUCUACUGAAGGUCCCAAUAGUAACACCACUACCACUGUGACUACCACUGGAGGGCACACUAGUAAAACACCUGUCCCCCUGACUUCCACUGCAGGGCACACUAGCACAUUGACUGCCCCUGUGACAUCUGCUGGAGGAGACACUAGUAAAACAAAUGCCCCUGUUACAUCCGCUGGAGGGCAUACUAGUAAAUUCACUGCUCCUGUGACGUCCACUAAAGGGGACACUAGCAAAUUGACUGCCCCUGUGACAUCUGCUGGAGGAGACACUGGUAAAACAAAUGCCCCUGUGACGUCCGCUGGGGGGCACACUAUUAAGGCGACUGCCUCUGUGACUACUACUGCAGGGCACACUAGUAAAACAAAUGUCCCUGUGACUUCCACUGCAGGGCACACUAGUAAACUGACUGCCCCUGUGACAUCUGCUAGAGGAGACACUAGUAAAACAAAUGCCCCUGUGACGUCCGCUGCAGGGCAUACUAGGUACACAACUGCUCCUGUGGGUUUCACCGAAGGGCACACCAGUAAACCAACUGUCCCUGUGACCUCCACUGGAGGGCACACUAUUAAGACGGCUGCCCCUGUGACUACCACUGCAGGGCUCACUAGUAAAACAACUUCUCUUGUGACCUCCACUGAAGGUCCCACCAGUUACACAACUGGCCCUGUGACGUCCACUGGAGGGCACACUACUAAACCAACUGUCCCUGUUACUUCCACUGAAGGCUUGCCACUGUGA
RNAcentral lists this long non-coding RNA (1470 nucleotides) under Betta splendens (Siamese fighting fish). RNAcentral's name for it is "lncRNA (ENSBSLG00000019024.1)". Lineage: Eukaryota; Metazoa; Chordata; Actinopteri; Anabantiformes; Osphronemidae. The record is from RNAcentral.